Long non-coding RNA from Mus musculus (house mouse), 719 nucleotides. RefSeq annotates it as predicted gene, 33370. The record is from RefSeq and is marked validated. NCBI's taxonomy places the organism in Eukaryota, Metazoa, Chordata, Mammalia, Rodentia, Muridae. The transcript is spliced from 4 exons.
ACUCAUAGUGAGGAAGCUGUGACCAGCAGAUAGUGAAAAUUAUCAGUGAGCACUGUCUGGGCCAUUGCGAGGUAUCAUCACUGUGCCCAGCGCUGGACAAACCCAUGUGUAUCACAGACUCAUCACAGAAUCACUCUGUAACUCAACCUGGUUAUUCCUUGGAGAUCCAGUGUCAUCCUCGUAUCCACAAUACUUCACAGGCCCCGACUACAAGCCAGAGAAACAGCAUGCUUUAUAUGGAGUCUCAUUUAAGCCCUUCAAUGAGUCUAGGAGAAUUCUCUUGCCAACCUUUGCAGCGAGAGAUAGUAGCUAAAUGCUCAGAAUUAAAGAGCAACCCCCAAAACCUGGAAAAGAGUCUAAGUGAACAAAGCCUGCCUGGAAUGGAAGAGCUCUGAGUGAAGAGAGUCAGCACAGAGAAGCAAACAGAGGACCCUGUAAGGACUACUUAUCAAACUGUAAUCAACAACAACCAUUAACAACCAACAACCAACCAACCAACCAACCAACCAACCAACAAUCAACAACUCCACCUCUCAGGGCCCUUUUUUAUAUAUUCCCUGAAAACUUUCCAGAAUUCCAAACACCACACAAUCGCAUAAAACUGUCUUCAAGUGUCAGAAUCAUGCCCCCACCAGAGCUCAAGGAAAAUCAGUCAGCUGCUUCGUACACGCUGAAGCAGCCCCAUGUCCCACACCUGGGAAUAAAAUGAAAGCACGUUC